GGCUGGGGGUGUGACUCAGGAGCAGAGCAAGUGCCCGGCACACACGAGGCCUUGGGUCUGAGUCCUUGUUCUGAUAAAAACAACAAAAAUAAUAACAUUAACAAAAAUAAAGUUACAUAUUUAGAGGGCUAUGUUGAAAAGUGGCAGGCUGGGGCACUCCUUUUCCCUCUCACAGAAAUGCUCAGACCAAGGCUAAACGAUCAAUAUCAGAGCAUUGGACAGUGGGGUGAAGAGACGGAGUCCAAGGUCCCAGAUCCAACCCCACCAGGGGGGCUGUGCUGCAUUCAACUUCCUUUUGCACCAAAAGCAGACCUUGAGACAGGGUUUGAGUUCAAGUAGUUUAUUUGGGAGCUACUCCCUGAAAGCACUGGUGAAGAAAAGAGAGGUGAGGUGGCGGUGGGGAGAAAACUUAAAAGAGCAGUGUAGCUGAGUAGAUAAUCACCAAGGGCAACUUGGGUUCAAUCCCACUGGAAAAUGCUAGGAGGCAUGUAGAUUAGGCCCUGGGAUUAUCCCACCAGAGGAGCAAAGAGGCUGGGAUGUUUAUUCUCCUGUUUUUUACCCAUCAUCAGCCAAGCCCUCACCUGAGGAUUCCGCAGCCAAUCACCUGUCACCUCCAUGGCAUCUUGGGUGCUUGCAGUAAUAUCCCGUGGUGCACCUGGAAUAGCAACAGGAAGGAGCUCCAAAAGCUGUGUGGAUCACCCAGGCCCAGCCAGAUAGGCAUGGAUCAGAAGAGUCCAUCCUCAGGAGGACCUGCCGUGCGCUCAGAGCUCCUCCCAGAGAAACUUUCCUCCUAAGUGAUACGAAGUGAAACUCCACAAAGUGCCGAGUCACAGGAAAUGCCAAGAUUCUUCACACAUAGAAUAAUGAGGCAAUAAAACUCAACUAUAAAGUUAAAUAAUUUACCAUAAAUAUCUAAAGCUCUCAAAUUAUUCUCUACAUUAACUGCCUAUGUUUAAAAU
RNAcentral lists this long non-coding RNA (959 nucleotides) under Fukomys damarensis (Damara mole-rat). RNAcentral's name for it is "lncRNA (ENSFDAG00000027503.1)". The record is from RNAcentral. Lineage: Eukaryota; Metazoa; Chordata; Mammalia; Rodentia; Bathyergidae.